This 497-nucleotide ribosomal RNA is filed under the name uncultured bacterium. RNAcentral's name for it is "partial 16S ribosomal RNA". It matches the Rfam family "Bacterial small subunit ribosomal RNA", at positions 28 to 507 of the family's 1533-position model. The record is from RNAcentral.
GAUGAACGCUGGCGGCGUGCCUAAUACAUGCAAGUCGAGCGAACAGACGAGGAGCUUGCUCCUCUGAUGUUAGCGGCGGACGGGUGAGUAACACGUGUAUAACCUACCUAUAAGACUGGGAUAACUUCGGGAAACCGGAGCUAAUACCGGAUAACAUGUUGAACCGCAUGGUUCAACAGUGAAAGACGGUCUUGCUGUCACUUAUAGAUGGAUCCGCGCCGCAUUAGCUAGUUGGUAAGGUAACGGCUUACCAAGGCAACGAUGCGUAGCCGACCUGAGAGGGUGAUCGGCCACACUGGAACUGAGACACGGUCCAGACUCCUACGGGAGGCAGCAGUAGGGAAUCUUCCGCAAUGGGCGAAAGCCUGACGGAGCAACGCCGCGUGAGUGAAGAAGGUCUUCGGAUCGUAAAACUCUGUUAUUAGGGAAGAACAAAUGUGUAAGUAACUAUGCACGUCUUGACGGUACCUAAUCAGAAAGCCACGGCUAACUACGUG